Molecule: transfer RNA, 69 nt
Filed under: Oneirodes bradburyae
Lineage: Eukaryota; Metazoa; Chordata; Actinopteri; Lophiiformes; Oneirodidae
Description: tRNA-Met
Rfam family: tRNA
About the family: Transfer RNA (tRNA) molecules are approximately 80 nucleotides in length. Their secondary structure includes four short double-helical elements and three loops (D, anti-codon, and T loops). Further hydrogen bonds mediate the characteristic L-shaped molecular structure. tRNAs have two regions of fundamental functional importance: the anti-codon, which is responsible for specific mRNA codon recognition, and the 3' end, to which the tRNAs corresponding amino acid is attached (by aminoacyl-tRNA synthetases). tRNAs cope with the degeneracy of the genetic code in two manners: having more than one tRNA (with a specific anti-codon) for a particular amino acid; and 'wobble' base-pairing, i.e. permitting non-standard base-pairing at the 3rd anti-codon position.
Source: RNAcentral
AGUAGAGUCAGCUAAUUAAGCUUUCGGGCCCAUGCCCCGGCGAUGUAGGUUAAACUCCUUCCUUUACUA